CUUUGACCCUAGGUUCCUCACAUGGGGCACAAUCCACUGUGUGAGCAGCUGCCAUCUGGGCUCAUGACUGCCCCAUGAGACUUUGGAGCACGGGCACCAGAGUUACCAUGCUGAUGUUCCCAUUCUUGCUGUGCUUUACAACAGAGGUGGUAUUCAGAUCAUGGAACAGCACUCCUGCAAGGGCACUGACCUGUCAGAACUCUCUACAAGCCCUUCCGGUACAUAGUUGUAUAUUCUUCGUUGUGGGUCCUUCUAGUUGUGGUAUGUGGGACGCUGCCUCAGCGUGGUUUGAUGAGCAGUGCCAUGUCCAUGCCCAGGAUUCGAACCAACGAAACACUGGGCCGCCUGCAGUGGAGCGCGUGAACUUAACCACUUGGCCACAGGGCCAGCCCCAGAACCAUCGUUUCAUAAUGAUCUGUGAUCCUAUUAUUCAAGUGCCAAAUCUUUUGAUUCUUUUUGACAAACAUCCUAAAUCAAAUUCUAAAUGAAGUCUUUUUGACCUUGAACCAACUUUGGGAUUUUUAAGAGGACCCCUGGAACAUCUCAAAAGAUUUGUUCUCUCUCCUUAUAAAUUAAAAAAAAGUGCGGGGGGGGGGGAUGUUAAAUUAAUUAGGCUUAUUUGAUAUGUUAAAUUAUUGGGAAGCAUUGUCAAAUAAGUGAUACUAAACCUUCUUAGAUUAUAUCUUUGUGGAUAUAUGUUAUUAAUAUGUGUUCCAGAAAUUGCAUGAAAUUCCUAGAAGUUUGGUAUGUCCUGGUAUAAUGUUAAUAUUUGUAAUUCCAGUUAUCUUAAAAUGUUGUAUGUCACAGAAAUAACCAAGUUUCUUUGUCAAUUGCAUUAUAAUAUACUCUCAUCAGAUCUUUAACUAUGGCCAUUUUUAAGUCUUUUGCCAUUUAUAGUUAUUGUUUUACUCUGACACUUUGGCAAAAGUGUUCCUGCAAAAGUACUUCACCUUUAAGGAAAUUCCUGCAAAGAACUCUGGCAAGCACACAUUUCUGAUAACUUUAAGAUCAUAAAACUGAACUGGGUGAGAAUUCAGAGAACUAAUGGAAAAACUGGAUUCAAGAAGAUCAAGAAUUAAUAACAUGGGACUGAAUGAACUGAUAAGGAUGAUUAUAAUUUUUAUGACUUUUUGUUUGAAACUGUUGAUUCUUUGAUGUUUUGUUUUUCUAGAUUUGAGAACAUUUUUUCUCUUAAGCUACCUAUGGCUUAGAGCAAUUUGGUAAAGUAUAACUUUGUGAACAAAGAGAAAACAAUUACUUUUUCUCCCUACCUGAUCCCUCUUGAAUUUGGAAACUCUUAUUAUUCUUAUUUUCAUGGUGAUAUGGCUAUUUGUGUAAGCUCAAUAAGAAUCUGUUCUCCUUGUAACAGGACACAAUUUGAAAUAUUGGUUAUAUUACCAAGGCAUUGACUAGAAUAUCAUAUUUGAGAGAAAAUGUACAUAGAGUCAGAUAUGCCAAACAGCAUUAAGGAAUUAAGAUUGAUUUUAUGGAGCCCCUAGGAAAAAUAUCCUGGUACCUUGCUUACAGGGUUCCCAACAUCCUAACCAGGUAAGUAAAAAGUCACUUCCUGGCAGGUGCAGGAACCCCAGGAUAUUUGGGGGACCUUGAGAAGAGAGUAAUUGACCCAAAUCUAUAGGUAUUGCAAAGUCUGAUGGCAAGUCCUCAGCUUGGCUUCCUAGCCUUAAGAGGCUUGUAAAAGUCCAAUCUGAGAUUCCUUAUGAAAAGUUCCAGCAACAGAUUAAAAGAAUCUAAAUGAUCAAUCACUAUUCUUGCAUCCUUAUGUAAAUAAUCAGGCCAAAUUUAUCCAAGCCAGAUAUUUUACAAACAAAUUAGUCUUAAUUUGGCUAUCUUUGGCAGAAAGGAAGGUGACUUUAGAGAGAAAAACUAUGUUUCAGUAGAAACUAUAAUGCACACUUGUGGAUAUAGACACUUGUUAACUUCUUUGAGGUUUUGUUAUUUGCCUGUGAAAUGCACUGGAUCUGAAUUCCUCUAAUUUCUUCAAAUAUCUGGCUACAAAUCUCCAAACUGACAUUUCCAAUUUUCUCCCACCUUUUUGACUUGGAAUCAUUGAGAACUAAAGGUGCCCUUUUCCUGAAGCCCUGAAAACUGAAGCUGAACAACUUGAUGUCAGCUUCAAGAAAUCACCACAAUAGCUAAGAUUUGGGCAAUCUUCUUCAUGCCUGUUGCUGUAUAGACCACUCAGAAAGUUUAUUGGUACACCUGAUGACAUCAGCAGAGACAUUCAAACUGCAAACCAGGAAAAUCUGUCAGAUUGCCACUUCCUGCCCUCACUCCAUCUGAAGAUGCUUGGAGCCUGACAUCUAGAAAUCUUAUCAACCAACAGCUCUCAGGACUGAAACACUAGCUUUAGAAUUUGAUCCAACCAAUGACCUUUUUUCCACUUUCUUACCUAUAUCCCUCUCUUGGAUAUUGUUGUUUGAUAGCUUCUUCUCAGUCUAUUUUGCCAUUUUAUCCUUUUAGACCCAAUAUUCAAAUGGGCCUAGAAACGUAAAUUUCCUACAUUCUGCCCUCCACCUUCUUCUCUCUGAAUACUUUCUCCCUGAGCAAUCUCCCCAAAUCCCCCAAGUACGUAGUUGUCUAUUUUAGGUGCAGGUCCUUCUAGUUGUGGCAUGUGGGAUGCCGCCUCAACAUGGCCUGAUGAGCAGUUCCAUGUCCAUGCCAGGAUCCAAAUUGGCAAAACCCCGGGCUGCCAAAGUGGGGCACACAAACUUAAUCACUCGGUCACGGGGCCAGCCCCUCCCUGAGCAAUCUUGUCCAUUUAGUUUCUUAAUAAACCUAUAUGCUAAUGCUUCCCAAAUCUAUGGUUUUAAAACCAACUUCUCCUAAGAACUGAAGACCCCACUUUUUAAGGGAUUCCUAUACAAUGUCAUAUGCAUAGCCCAAAACACCUUAAAAAAAGAUGUCUACGAUGAAAUUUGCCACUUUACCCAAAUCCAUUCCUCUAUUUGUUAAAGGCCUUGCCAUCCUGCCAAACAUAGUGCCCCAGAACCCCAGUCACAAUUUCUAUUCCUCUGUCUUCUUUACCAUGCCCCCAUCGGGAUAGCAGACAUGGCUUCACAACUCAAAAGGAGCUCCCCCUGUGCCACACCUGUAAUACCUUCCCUCACCCCCAACCAUGAUUUUCUCGUAGGACCUGCUAAAAACAGCACCUCAUCCAUCAGGUCCAGUGACUGGUCUAAGGGGUGGAUAUGUGACCCAAGCCCUUCUACCAGGGUCCAUCUCUGGAAAAGUUCGACUGGCCCAGGGGAAGAUCCCAGUCUUCUUUAGUCCCUCAGCUAGAAGGACUGGCUGUGGCGAUGAUCCUGAAGCAUGGAGAGAACUUCUCUGCAGUAGAAAAGAAUAAAGGCUACCUUCAAAGAGAACAUACGGAGGAAGAAUGACAUCUGAGGCCCUGAUUCAGUUGUCCCUACCUGGCUCUAUCUCUGCCUUUCCCAAAGUUAUGUUAUUAGCCUAAUUUUGCAAAUAAAUUUCUCUUUUUUACUUUUUAGAUGAAUCAAGCUGGGCUCUGUCAUUUACAAAAUUAUAACUUAAACCUUUUCUUUUUACCACAUGCCUCCCCUUCCCCUGAGCAGAUAUGUAAGCAUUUAAUCAGUUGCCAAAUCAUGUGGAUUCCACGUCUUAAACAUUCUUCGUAUGUAUCCCAUUUUCAUCACCUAGUCCAGGUCCUAGAUCAUGUAAUGGCUUCCUUACUAUAUUCUCCAACUCUAGUCUCAUCUCCUCUAAACAUCCUCCAAUUAUUGUCAAAGAACUUUCUAAAGCUUAUAGUAAAUGUGUCAGCCUUCACUUCAAUAACCUUCAGUGGCUCUCUAGGACUCACAGAGUGAAAAUAAAAUUGCUAAAACAGCUUCAAAUACCCUAUGAUUUGGCAUUUGCUUUCUUUUCCAUUUUAUCUCUCCUAAGAUAUCUUUCAACCACUCACCUAUCGCUAAAUAUUUCCUGAACUUUCCUGUCUCUAUGGUUGCCAUUUUCUCUCCACGUAUUAGAGAUACAAAUCCUACCCAUUCUUAAAAUGUGUCCUUCAUAAAACCUAGAACCUCUCAAUCAUCAGCAAACUGUACAUUUUCUUGGCUUCUACAGCACUUUAUACCUCUACUGAAACACCUUUGCUUUGUGCUAUAGCAAUUUUCAUUCAUCGUAUUUUCCUUUUAGGUUUUAAAUUUCCUUGAGGACAAGGACUCUUCAUUAGCACUAUUAGAAAAAGAAACAACAGAUCCAAAAUGGAAGCACUUGUGCUAAGCUCCACGUCAGCAAAUGAAGACUUGAUACCUAACCGAAUUGCAGUUUCAGUCUCUCCUGGGAACGUAACCCUUCACCAGUCAAUCUGGAAUUACUUGGUCAGUACUAGUGAGGUAAUCUUCCUGAUAGACCCUACCUGUCCCCACAGGAAGGUGACCUUGCCUGAAACAAUCAACUCUUUGCUAGAAAUUUCCUUUUCCCACCCCAUUCUGUCUAUAAAAGACUUUCAUUUUGUGUAGUUGUUUGGAGCUCCUUUCUGUUUGCUAGACGGGAUGCUGCCCAAUUCAUAAAUCAUGGAAUAAAGCCAAUUUGAUCUUUAAAUCUACUUAGUUGAGUGUUGGUUUUUAACAGUACUAAAG
Molecule: long non-coding RNA, 4616 nt
Filed under: Equus caballus (horse)
Lineage: Eukaryota; Metazoa; Chordata; Mammalia; Perissodactyla; Equidae
Description: lncRNA (ENSECAG00000043173.2)
Source: RNAcentral